AAAAAAAAAAGUGAUCUAGCCAUGAGCAGGUUGAAGUCGGGGUAAGACCCGAUGGAGGACCGAACCGACCCCCGUUGAAACGUUGGCGGAUGACUUGUGGCUAGGGGUGAAAUUCCAAUCGAACCCGGAGAUAGCUGGUUCUCCCCGAAAUAGCUUUAGGGCUAGCGUCGCAGCGAGAGAGCCGUGAAGGUAGAGCACUGAAUAUGCGAUGGCCGCAUCCCGCGGUACUGAGCAUAAUCAAACUCCGAAUGUCACGGUGUCAUCUGCGGCAGUCAGACGGCGAGUGAUAAGGUCCGUCGUCAAGAGGGAAACAGCCCAGACCAUCAGCUAAGGUCCCAAAGUGCAUGCUAAGUGGAAAAGGAAGUGGAGACGUGCAGACAACUAGGAGGUUGGCUCAGAAGCAGCCAUCCUUCAAAGAGUGCGUAACAGCUCACUAGUCGAAUGACUCUGCGCCGAUAAUUUACCGGGGCUAAGCAUGACACCGAAGCUAUGGACAGGAAUGUGGUAGGGGAGCAUUGCAUGCAGCGGAGAAGCAUGACCGAAAGGGCAUGUGGAGCGCAUGGAAGAGAGAAUGCCGGCGUGAGUAGCGGCACGUGGGUGAGAAUCCCACGCACCGAUGGCCCAAGGUCUCCAGAGGAAGGCUCGUCCUCUCUGGGAUAGUCGGGACCUAAGGCGAGGCCGAAAGGCGUAGCCGAUGGACGACGGGUGGAUAUUCCCGUACCCGAUGUGUGGCGAUGGAGUGACGGAGAAGGCUCAGGCAACCAGCUGGUGGAAUAGCUGGGGCAAGCGAGAUACCUGCGCACCAGGGAAAUCCGGUGCGCAUAAGGGGAAGGCGCGAUGCAUACGGAAAGGUGCGGCAAGUACGGAUAAGCUGAGAGCAGGCUUCCAGGAAGAGCUUCUAGCACAACACACAUCGGCCCGUACUGAAAAUGGACACACAUGGGCAAGGAGAGAAUCCUGAGGUGAGCGAGAGAACUAUAGCUAAGGAACUCUGCAAAAUGACCCCGUAACCUAGGGAGAAGGGGUGCUCCAGAAAUGGAGCCGCAGUAAAACGGCCCAAGCGACUGUUUACCAAAAACACAGCUCUCUGCGAAGGCGCAAGCCGAAGUAUAGGGGGUGACGCCUGCCCGGUGCUGGAAGGUCAAGGGGAGCUGUCAGCGCAAGCGAAGCAGCGAGCCGAAGCCCCAGUAAACGGCGGCCGUAACUAUAACGGUCCUAAGGUAGCGAAAUUCCUUGUCGGGCAAGUUCCGACCUGCACGAAUGGUGUAAUGAUCCGGACGCUGUCUCAACCAUGAGC
Molecule: ribosomal RNA, 1297 nt
Filed under: Segatella copri
Lineage: Bacteria; Pseudomonadati; Bacteroidota; Bacteroidia; Bacteroidales; Prevotellaceae
Description: partial 23S ribosomal RNA
Rfam family: Bacterial large subunit ribosomal RNA
Source: RNAcentral